RNAcentral lists this ribosomal RNA (305 nucleotides) under uncultured bacterium. RNAcentral describes it as "partial 16S ribosomal RNA". It matches the Rfam family "Bacterial small subunit ribosomal RNA", at positions 508 to 807 of the family's 1533-position model. The record is from RNAcentral.
ACAGCAGUCGCCGCGGUAAUACAGAGGGUGCGAGCGUUAAUCGGAUUUACUGGGCGUAAAGCGUGCGUAGGCGGCUUCUUAAGUCGGAUGUGAAAUCCCUGAGCUUAACUUAGGAAUUGCAUUCGAUACUGGGAAGCUAGAGUAUGGGAGAGGAUGGUAGAAUUCCAUGUGUAGCGGUGAAAUGCGUAGAGAUCUGGAGGAAUACCGAUGGCGAAGGCAGCCAUCUGGCCUAAUACUGACGCUGAGGUACGAAAGCAUGGGGAGCAAACAGGAUUAGAUACCCGUGUAGUCCCUGUCUCUUAUAC